AGAAAACAAGUGCCUAAGAAGAAAAAUGAAAUACAGUUAUAACAAAAUGAUUAGACAAGAAGGGCACUGAGUUCAGUGCAGGGAACGCCAUUCAGUUCUUUGAAGUUGUGCAGAUGGAGGGUAACAGUAGUGUAUCAAACUCAAGCAGUGGUGGCCUUGUCAACGUUGCAGUAUAACAUUCUUGUGUAUUUGGUACUGAUUCCAAAUGGCAAUUAGAUUCUGGAGCAGAGAAAGAGGGCUUCUGCUGGUCCAGCAGAAACCACCUGAAGGAUUUUAGUGGGAACUUGGGGGACUUGAUUUUUUUUUUUUUAAAUGGACAAAGUAUGAAUUCUGGCAGCUAGAGCAACAUACCCAUAUUCCUUGCUAGUAUAAAUUGGCAAAGAUCUGAUGGAGCUGUAGCAAUUUAUACCAUCUGAGAUUCUGACCCAUUUCAGCAUGUUUAUACAAUAGCCACCUCCUUAUUCCAAAGACUUCAGUAUCUCAGAGGUGGUACUGUUGGCUGACACAUAGACAAGAAAAAUGAAGAAGAGAAACUGCAGCUUGGAUCAAGACGUUUUCCCAAAGGAGCAAAAAGAAUAUUCAAGACACCUUCUUGAUACUUCCCUGUAAGAACUUGGAGUAGCUGCUAAGAGAAUGCCCUUGCAGCUGAGAGAAAAAUGUUUGCAUUCCACUCUGAAUGGCAGGAUGGGCUAUCCCACAGGUGUCAAUAGGAGCACCCAGGAGCUGCAAUGAGGGUGCCAGGCACUGUACAAAAGAAGGGUAAGUAAAUGACUCUUCUUAACCAGACUGCUGAGCUCCAUACUCAUUUGAGAUUACUGGUUUACAGUAUUA
RNAcentral lists this long non-coding RNA (831 nucleotides) under Coturnix japonica (Japanese quail). RNAcentral describes it as "lncRNA (ENSCJPG00005010151.1)". Lineage: Eukaryota; Metazoa; Chordata; Aves; Galliformes; Phasianidae. The record is from RNAcentral.